Non-coding RNA from Paramisgurnus dabryanus, 521 nucleotides. The record is from RefSeq and is a predicted model, not a curated record. NCBI's taxonomy places the organism in Eukaryota, Metazoa, Chordata, Actinopteri, Cypriniformes, Cobitidae.
UCUACUGACUGCAGUCAUAGUGCUGUGUGUCCUGAUCAAUACAAACAAUCAACAGUUUAACAUCAAGACCAAAACCAUCACAGAAGAGAGAGACCAGCUACUAACCAAAUAUACCAACAUCACAGAGGAGAGAGACCAGCUACUAAGUAAAAAUCACCUCCUUACAAAAGAGAGAGAUAAAUUACAAAAUGAGCAGCUGACAAAGAAAAAUACACUGUGGACACGUUAUGAUGGAUGGAUUUAUUAUCAAUCCAGUUUGUACUUCAUUUCAACUGAGAAGAAGAACUGGACUGAGAGCAGAAGAUACUGUAGAGAGAGAGAAGCAGAUCUGAUCAUCAUUAACAACAAAGAGGAACAAGAUUUUAUUAAGAAGAAAUGUGGUAAGGACAAUCUCUGGAUUGGUUUGUCUGACAGUGAUGAGGAGGGCAGAUGGAAAUGGGUUGAUGGCAGCACACUGAACACUAGAUUCUGGAGGUCUGGAGAACCCAAUGGACGUACAGGAGAGAACUGUGUUGUGUCUU